UACGGAGGGUGCAAGCGUUAUCCGGAUUUACUGGGUUUAAAGGGUGCGUAGGUGGGUAGGUAAGUCAGUGGUGAAAUCUUCAAGCUUAACUUGGAAACUGCCAUUGAUACUAUUUAUCUUGAAUACUUUGGAGGUAAGCGGAAUAUGUCAUGUAGCGGUGAAAUGCUUAGAUAUGACAUAGAACACCAAUUGCGAAGGCAGCUUACUACACAGUAAUUGACACUGAGGCACGAAAGCGUGGGGAUCAAACAGG
This 253-nucleotide ribosomal RNA is filed under the name uncultured bacterium. Its description in RNAcentral is "partial 16S ribosomal RNA". It matches the Rfam family "Bacterial small subunit ribosomal RNA", at positions 524 to 776 of the family's 1533-position model. The record is from RNAcentral.